Molecule: long non-coding RNA, 1039 nt
Organism: Ictalurus furcatus (blue catfish)
Lineage: Eukaryota; Metazoa; Chordata; Actinopteri; Siluriformes; Ictaluridae
Exons: 3
Source: RefSeq, a predicted model, not a curated record
AGUGACCGGAGACCAUUCAUUUUCAAUGCGAGCUUCUGGCGACAUGUAGGCAUGUCCAGUGACUUUGAAAGUUGAGAAAUGUUUAUGCAAAUUUGGAGUGACUUUGGUUCAGUGACUACCAAUGGGAGUGAAGACAGUAGAGUGCACAUGAUCCGUAGCCACCCUUGCUCACUAGUAGAAGCAGCGGCAGUAGCCAAUUAGCUUAGCUUAGGAUCUUAGUGGGUUUAAAGCAAAAAAAAUAGAUAAAAUAAAUAAUAAUGAAACACACUUUUUGUUGCAAUCGAGCAAAAUCCGAGUGUAGCGCCUAUCGUGGGUGAAGUUUAGGUGACACAUUAUCCAGGAAACACAGAGGCCAUGGCCGAAGAGCUGCGGUCCAGCUCCCGGUCACCAUCGAACAUAUAGGGAAUGACGCCUCGAUGGUGACGCUCACUUACUGAUAUAGGAGCUACACCGGCAUUUUGCUCGAUUGAAACAAAAACUGAGUGUUUCAUUAUUAUUAUUUUGCUUUCAAUGCGCUAAGGCCAUAAGGCAAGCUAAGCUAAUUGGCACUUGCACUUUUGCCGCCGAUAGAUGGCUGCAGUGGCAAAGAGCACACACUGCUUCUCCUUCAUCUCGUAGGAUAUGCAUAUAUACACUGAGUUUUAUAUAAGAUCACUCUCCCUCCAGGAUAUUUAAUUUUAGCGGCAAGAAAACGUUCGUUGUCAAAAGUGGAAUGCUAGUUGCGUCACUCAUGUUACUAUGGCAACCAGUAGUAGGAACGGCCACUGGCGACUUCAUAGUACAACAACUGGUGACUUGCAGCGAAAAAAAUCACUUCCCAUGCUUGCAGUACCGCAUUUGUCCACAUGGAACAGAAAUGCUCCCUUGCGAGGAUGGUUUUCUAGUCGUGGAUACUGUUCUGUGCGCUCAUAUCGCAUGCACAUGCCUGGUUUUUAUGUGCCCGAAAACUGCUUUUCACCUCCAUCACUAAAAUCAUUGACUGAAACUUUGGCUGUUUUGUAAUACCCUUCAUUCAUUUUACUCUACAUUUAAAUUAAGG